Molecule: long non-coding RNA, 3287 nt
Organism: Oncorhynchus kisutch (coho salmon)
Lineage: Eukaryota; Metazoa; Chordata; Actinopteri; Salmoniformes; Salmonidae
Exons: 2
Source: RefSeq, a predicted model, not a curated record
AUCGUAUGAGACCCACCACCUGGACAGCUGAUGAAACGGUGGGUUUGCCCAACCAAAUAAUUUCUGCAGUUCAGUGUUGUAACUGACUUCAAUGGGCAAAUGCUCACCUUCGAUGGCCACUGGCAUGCUGGAGAUGUGCUCUUUACAAAUGAAUCUCGGUUUCAACUGUACCGGGCAGGUAGUAUGUAUGGCGUCGUGUGGGCGAGUGGUUUGCUGAUGUCAACAUUGUGAAUAGAGUGCCCCAUGGUGGGGUUAUGGUAUGGACCGGCAUAAGCUACUGACAACUAACACAAUGGCAUUUUAUUGAUUCCAAUUUGAAUGCAGAGAUACCGUGACAAGAUCCUGAGGCCCAUUGUCGUGCCAUUCAUUUGCCACCAUCACAUGUUUCAGCAUAAUGCACGGCUCCAUGCAUGAUGCAAUGUCUCAGUUCCUCCAUGGCCUGUAUACUCACCUGAAAUGUCACUCAUUGAGCAUGUUUGGGAUGUUCUGGAUGGAUGUGUACAACAUUGUGUUCCAGUUCUUGCCACUUUCGCACAGCCAUUGAAGAGGAUUGGGACAACAUUCCACAGGCCACAAUCAACAGUCUAAUGAACUCUCUGCAAAGGAGAGUUGUCACUUUGCAUGUGGCAAAUGGUGGUCACACCAGAUACUGACUAGUGUUCUGAUCCAUGACCCUACCUUUUUUUUAAGGUAUGCAUAUCUGUAUUCCAAGUCAAGUGAAAUCCAUUGAGGGCCUAAUGAAAUCAUUUGAAUUGACUGAUUUCCUUAUAUGAACUGUAACUCAGUAAAAUCUUAGAAAUGUCAAAUAUAACAUCCAUUUAUGCCCAGCUAUGUAAACGCUAACGUGGAUUUAUCUUGCAAUACAUUUAGUUCAAUUGGUAAUAUUCAUGUUUGUCUUUUAAUGCCUCUUUAUAGGAAAGUAAUCAGGGGCUCCCGAGUGGUGCAGAGGUGUAAGGCACUGCAUUUCACUGCUAGAGCCGUCACAACAGACCCUGGUUUGACCCCGGGCUGUAUCUCAACUGGCCGUGAUCGGGAGUCCCCAUAGGGCGCCGCAUAAUUGGUCCAGCAUCGUCCGGUUUAGGGGAGGGUUUGGCCGGGAUCCCUUGAAGCUGUCCUCAGACAACCAUCAACCAUCAUCACCUCUGGAUGUUCUACCACCACCAGACCUGCAGUAAUUCAGCUGAGUGAUUUGACAGGAGUUUAUCAUUGGUGCUGUUGUGGGAAAUGACAUGGGGAAAUUACAUGGGGUAUAUCAUUCAAUAGCGUUUGUGAGACUGAAUAUUUGCAAUCAAGUCAGUGUUAGGGAUCAGUACGUUUGGUGCAUUCGGGAAGCAUUCUGUCCCCUUUUUCUUUUUACACAUUUUGUUAAAUUACAUUUUGUUACUCAUCAAUCUACACACAAUACCCCAUAAUGACAAAGUGAAAACAGGUUUUUAGAAUAAAAUAAAAAACCAGAAAUACCUUAUUUACAUAAGUAUUCAGACCCUUUGCUAUGACACUCAAAAUUGACCUCAGGUGCAUCGUGUUUCCAUUAAUGAUCCUUGAUGUUUCCCCAAGUUGCUUGGAGUUCACCUGUGGUAAAUUCAACUGAUUGGACAUGAUUUGGAAAGGCACAUACCUGUCGAUAUAAGGUCCCACAGUUGACAGUGCAUGCCAGAGCAAAAGCCAAGCCAUGAAGUCAAAGGAAUUGUCCUUAGAGCUCCGAGACAGGAUUGUGUUGAGGCACAGAACUGGGGAAUGGUACCAAAAAAUGUCUGCAGCAUUGAAGGUCCCCUAGAACACAGUGGCCUCCGUCAUUCUUAAAUUGAAGAAGUUUGGAACCACUAAGACUCUUCCUAGAGCUGUACCAGUGACCAGUAAAACAUAGCGUCAGAAUUGAUAUCAGCCCGGCCAAACCAAGUUAUCGGGUACUACAGUAUUGCUGUCCCUCUGGUGUUAUGGUAUACUACAAUAUUUGGUGAUAUUGUCCCGCUGUGGUGUUAUGGGGUACUACAGUAUUUGGUGGUACUGUCCUUCUGUGGUGUUAUGGGGUACUACAGUAUUUGGUGGUACUGUCUCUCUGGUGUUAUGGGGUACUACAGUAUUUGGUAGAGUGUGGACCUCAUUAUCAAGUCAUGUGAACCAUAAUGUGACAGGUGAAUUAAGUAGAUUGUUGCUUUUUUUCCCCCAUGCAUCCCUAUUCUGGUAAAUGUAAAAAAUAUGAUACUCACAAUAACAUGCAUUUGGGUCAACAUGACUGAAAACAUGCAAUGGAUAUUGUUUGACCUUACACCGUGAUCAAGCUACUUUGACUCCUAAAGUCACAGUCAUGGGGCAGACCUGUUAAUGUUUAACUACUGUAGUAAAAUCCUCAGUGUAGCAGUAAACACGCGUGUUUCCUGAUAUAUGCAUUGACAAAGUCUUAAGUGAACAAAUAAUACACUCACUCAUCAUUAGGUCAUAAAAUAACUCCUUAUCAAUGAUGAACCUUGAUUUGUGAUUGGACACAACUGUUGGUUGUUUUUCAGCAUCACCUUGUCUCCAACACAGUCAAGUUGCUACUCCUCUGGAUAUCCCAUUGUUCCUCCACUGGACCUAAUUAAACACUGUGAGUAUGAAAUUACUUUCACGGGUGUAGUUGUAGGAAAUGUAAACUGUUCUGUUCUAAUGUUGCAUUAAUCUAGAACUAUUCAUGAAAAUACUGUAUGUAAAAGUGUGUCUGUCAUACAUUGUUUCAAGCCACUCCUUGCAACAAAUCUGAUGUGAGAUUCAUGUGAGAUGUAUUAUAUUUUUUUUGGUUAGUAUAAGGAGUCAGGUGUUAUUCCUCAAGAAUCAAUAGGGUAUAUCAUUAAUUGAAAAGACAUUUGAACAGCAGUAAAUAUAGAAGAUGGCCUCCAGUUCUCCUUACUGUACCUCCCUAAAGCUGAAGUGUGCAGUAGUUGCUGAAGAAUUCCCCAUGGAAUACACAAUUAAUGAUUGAUGAUCGAAUACUGAGGAAGUUAAGUUGUACUGAUAACAAUUAGAAGUAGAAUUUCUCAAUGAAACCCUGUUUUGAAUCCAGUGUCUCUUAUGGGCUGCAUGUACUGUAUUUGUGCCUGUCUGGACAAUUGUUCCUAGAUGCAGUUUGUUGAAAUUUGAGGCUGUCUUGACUGCUGGCAAUAUGGCUGUAAUCAGCUUUUUAGAAUGCUUUACAUUGUACAGCCUAACAGGCCUUUGAACCCUGUUACACCUGAACCAAUUAUGGUGCGCCCACUUAAUAGUGUAAUAAACUGUACUGCAGUUUGAGGGGUAAGUGUGGGUUGUAGGAG